UUAGGAAUUUUGGGCAAUGGGCGAAAGCCUGACCCAGCAACGCCGCGUGGGGGACGAAGGCCUUCGGGUCGUAAACCCCUUUUCCGAGGGAAGAUAGUGACGGUACCUCGGGAAUAAGCCCCGGCUAACUACGUGCCAGCAGCCGCGGUAAUACGUAGGGGGCUAGCGUUGUCCGGAUUUAUUGGGCGUAAAGCGCACGCAGGCGGCGCGGCAAGUGGUCGGUGAAAUCCUCCGGCUCAACUGGAGGGGGUCCGGCCAUACUGCCGUGCUCGAGGUCGCGAGGGGGAAGCGGAAUUCCCGGUGUAGUGGUGGAAUGCGUAGAUAUCGGGAGGAACACCAGUGGCGAAGGCGGCUUCCUGGCGCGAUUCUGACGCUGAGGUGCGAAAGCGUGGGGAGCGAUCCG
This 403-nucleotide ribosomal RNA is filed under the name uncultured bacterium. RNAcentral describes it as "bacterial SSU rRNA". It matches the Rfam family "Bacterial small subunit ribosomal RNA", at positions 355 to 775 of the family's 1533-position model. The record is from RNAcentral.